This 725-nucleotide ribosomal RNA is filed under the name alpha proteobacterium SCGC AAA015-F06. Its description in RNAcentral is "SSU rRNA". It matches the Rfam family "Bacterial small subunit ribosomal RNA", at positions 95 to 857 of the family's 1533-position model. The record is from RNAcentral. Lineage: Bacteria; Pseudomonadati; Pseudomonadota; Alphaproteobacteria.
GUGGCAGACGGGUGAGUAACAUGUAGGUAUCUUCCCUUUGGCCUGGAAUAACACGAGGAAACUUGUGCUAAUACCGGAUAAGUCUUUACGGAGAAAGCUUUAUGCACCAUUGGAUGAGCCUGCACUUGAUUAGUUAGUUGGUAGGGUAAUGGCCUACCAAGACUUUGAUCAAUAGCUGAUUUGAGAGGAUGAUCAGCCACAUUGGGACUGAGACACGGCCCAAACUCCUACGGGAGGCAGCAGUGGGGAAUCUUGCACAAUGGAGGAAACUCUGAUGCAGCGAUGCCGCGUGAGUGAAGAAGGCCUUUGGGUUGUAAAGCUCUUUCGUCGGGGAAGAAAAUGACUGUACCCGAAUAAGAAGGUCCGGCUAACUUCGUGCCAGCAGCCGCGGUAAUACGAAGGGACCUAGCGUAGUUCGGAAUUACUGGGCUUAAAGAGUUCGUAGGUGGUUGAAAAAGUUGGUGGUGAAAUCCCAGAGCUUAACUCUGGAACUGCCAUCAAAACUUUUCAGCUAGAGUUUGAUAGAGGAAAGCAGAAUUUCUAGUGUAGAGGUGAAAUUCGUAGAUAUUAGAAAGAAUACCAAUUGCGAAGGCAGCUUUCUGGAUCAUUACUGACACUGAGGAACGAAAGCAUGGGUAGCGAAGAGGAUUAGAUACCCUCGUAGUCCAUGCCGUAAACGAUGUGUGUUAGACGUUGGAAAUUUAUUUUCAGUGUCGCAGCGAAAG